RNAcentral lists this non-coding RNA (139 nucleotides) under Candidatus Amesbacteria bacterium GW2011_GWC1_48_10. Lineage: Bacteria; Candidatus Amesiibacteriota. The record is from RNAcentral.
CUUGCAAGUUUAUAGAAUUGGUCAGACCUCAUAUUUUGCCUUCAUUGCUGUAUAAAAUUGGAAUAGCCCCGUAGAGACUACACGCUAGCUCCCGUAACAGCGGGAUGAAGAUAUAGUCCAUGCCAACAGAAAUGUUUGG